CAGGCCUAACACAUGCAAGUCGAACGAUAUACUUCCCGCUUGCGGGAGGGAGUAAAGUGGCGAACGGGUGAGUAACGCGUGGGUAACCUGCCCUUGAAUCUGGGAUAACUUCGCGAAAGCGUUGCUAAUACCGGAUAAUGCCUCGAGGGUUUUGGCCUUUGAGGUGAAAGGUGACCUAUCCAUGGAAGUUGCCGUUCAGGGAGGGGCCCGCGUCCCAUUAGCUUGUUGGUGGGGUAAAGGCUUACCAAGGCCAUGAUGGGUAGCUGGUCUGAGAGGAUGAUCAGCCACACUGGCACUGAAACACGGGCCAGACUCCUACGGGAGGCAGCAGUGAGGAAUUUUGCGCAAUGGGGGAAACCCUGACGCAGCAACGCCGCGUGAGUGAAGAAGGCCUUCGGGUCGUAAAGCUCUGUCAAAAGGGAAAAAAGUUUUGCGGUGAAUAGCCGCAAAAUCUGAUGGUACCUUUAGAGGAAGCACCGGCUAACUCCGUGCCAGCAGCCGCGGUAA
This 507-nucleotide ribosomal RNA is filed under the name uncultured bacterium. RNAcentral describes it as "bacterial SSU rRNA". It matches the Rfam family "Bacterial small subunit ribosomal RNA", at positions 43 to 523 of the family's 1533-position model. The record is from RNAcentral.